UAACGAAUCUUCCGCAAUGCACGAAAGUGUGACGGAGCGACGCCGCGUGGAGGACGAAGUCCUUCGGAAUGUAAACUCCUGUCAGGGGAAAGAAAGUUCUGAUCUACCCCAGAGGAAGAGGCGGCUAACUCUGUGCCAGCAGCCGCGGUAAUACAGAGGCCUCGAGCGUUAGGCGGAAUCACUGGGCUUAAAGCGUGUGUAGGCGGACUUCUAAGUACCUUGUGAAAUCCCACGGCUUAACCGUGGAACCGCUCGGUAUACUGGUCGUCUUGAGCCACUUAGGGGCUACCGGAACAAAUGGUGGAGCGGUGAAAUGCGUAGAUAUCAUUUGGAACGCCAAUGGUGAAAACAGGUAGCUGGGAGUGUGCUGACGCUGAGACACGAAAGCCAGGGGAGCGAACGGGAUUAGAUACCCCGGUAGUCC
This 424-nucleotide ribosomal RNA is filed under the name uncultured bacterium. Its description in RNAcentral is "bacterial SSU rRNA". It matches the Rfam family "Bacterial small subunit ribosomal RNA", at positions 355 to 796 of the family's 1533-position model. The record is from RNAcentral.